GUUUCAAAACCACCUAAAGAAAAAACUUCAAUAAGUAAUUACUUUAAGCUUCUAAAAUCAAUCGCUGGUCAUCACAACAAAAACCUAACAGUGGAGGGUAUUCAUAAAAAAAUAAAUCUAGCCGACUCCAAAUUAUCGUGGGAGCAUGAGCGUUUCUGUAUGAAACGGUUUCCUGCAUUUACAUUAUCCUCAGCGAAAUCCCCUGUAAGUCCGCUGCGAACUACGAUGUUUAAGGAUAACGAAUCGUAUAUAAUAGAGCAUUUGGUUAUUUCCGUGAAGAAUAUAGCCGAAUCACUUGCUUGUUAUAUGUAUAAAAUAGAUCCCUUCUCUGAAGUUUUUGAAGGUCAUGCUGCUAUAAUUGAAGACAAUAUUCGUCCAUACCUCGGAAUCAAAGCGACUUUGCAGAAUAACGACAUUAAAGACGGAUUU
This 429-nucleotide small RNA is filed under the name Drosophila mojavensis. RNAcentral's name for it is "GI18272". Lineage: Eukaryota; Metazoa; Arthropoda; Insecta; Diptera; Drosophilidae. The record is from RNAcentral.